UCCCUGGUAGCUCAGUUGGUAAAGAAUCCACCUGCAAAGCGGGAGACCUGGGUUCGAUCCCUAGGUUGGGAA
RNAcentral lists this transfer RNA (72 nucleotides) under Ovis aries (sheep). It matches the Rfam family "tRNA". Rfam says of the family: Transfer RNA (tRNA) molecules are approximately 80 nucleotides in length. Their secondary structure includes four short double-helical elements and three loops (D, anti-codon, and T loops). The record is from Rfam by way of RNAcentral. Lineage: Eukaryota; Metazoa; Chordata; Mammalia; Artiodactyla; Bovidae.